GUACUAGUAUUCGCGGGAAAUCCAACAUGGCCGACGAUGUGAGGUGACUCCACACAUUGUACAUCGUGAUCUCUGUCAUAAAGGGUGGCCAAAUAGGAAACAAGCGCCCCCUCCCAUGGAGAGACUAUUGUUUGAAAGAAUGUGGCUCUGGUGACGGCAAGGCUACCGAGGCAAGGAGACAGAGAGAGGGAGGGAGAGGGUAGCUGGUAUCGGCUCUACACACGCGAUACACCGCCCUGUUGUUUUGUGGUCGUCCAAAGUGUUGUUUGUCAUUCGGGUUCCAAGGGGAUGGAGUCACGUGAUCGCGAACAGGACGAAAGAAAAGCUGUACGUCGGUGCACCCAGGAAACUGGCUUGAUAGCACUCAAGCCUCCUCUAGCGGCUUCAAAGAGAAGGACAGACACGCAACCAUGCCAUGACCGACUUGAAUUUUUAGUUUAGCGAAAUUUGUCAUGACUGAAGCUACAAAUAUUUGUAUGGGUGCCAAGUAUGCUACUUUUUUUACUCAUAGCAUAACGUUACAUAGCAUUUUGAUGAACGAAGAAAUAUGCAGAUAGUUGUAGGGUGUGUGUGUGUGUGUGUUUGUUUGUGCCUUUUCAACCCCCACACAGAAACACACACACACACACACACGCACUCACUCACUACUAGUACUUUCAAGAAAGUAGGUUUUACCUAUGGCUUCGUUUCAUACACUGCGACAUCUUGUCAAUCCAUGCACGUUUUUUUAAUCAAAUGGAUUCCUCACGCCACACAGCGGAUGACACUGGUACUGCAUCUGAGUUUGCAGUUG
Molecule: long non-coding RNA, 793 nt
Organism: Branchiostoma floridae (Florida lancelet)
Lineage: Eukaryota; Metazoa; Chordata; Leptocardii; Amphioxiformes; Branchiostomatidae
Exons: 3
Source: RefSeq, a predicted model, not a curated record